AUGAAAUCUUUGUGGUUUUUCCUCUUUCUGGUGGCAGUCCCCAGAUAUGUCCUGUCCCAGGCAAAACUGAAGGAGUCAGGACCUGGCCUGGUGAAGCCCUCGGAGACCCUGUCCCUCACCUGCUCUGUCUCUGGAUUCUCUUUAACUGAUUAUGCUGUAAGCUGGAUCCACCAGGCUCCAGGAAAGAGACUGGAGUGGGUUGGAGUGAUAAACUAUGCUGGAAGCAUGAGCUACAAACAAACUCUUCAGUCCCAACUCAGCAUCAUCAGGAACACCUCAAAGAAUUGA
This is a non-coding RNA of Choloepus didactylus (southern two-toed sloth), 288 nucleotides long. The record is from the annotation of a RefSeq genome assembly. Lineage: Eukaryota; Metazoa; Chordata; Mammalia; Pilosa; Megalonychidae.